RNAcentral lists this ribosomal RNA (253 nucleotides) under uncultured bacterium. RNAcentral describes it as "partial 16S ribosomal RNA". It matches the Rfam family "Bacterial small subunit ribosomal RNA", at positions 524 to 776 of the family's 1533-position model. The record is from RNAcentral.
UACGUAGGGUGCAAGCGUUACUCGGAAUUACUGGGCGUAAAGCGCGUGUAGGCGGUCCGGUAAGUCCGCUGUGAAAGUCGGGGGCUCAACCCUCGAAUGCCGGUGGAUACUGUCGGGCUAGAGUGCGGAAGAGGCGAGUGGAAUUCCUGGUGUAGCGGUGAAAUGCGCAGAUAUCAGGAGGAACACCAAUUGCGAAGGCAGCUCGCUGGGACGUUACUGACGCUGAGACGCGAAAGCGUGGGGAGCAAACAGG